UCCUCUGAUGCUUCCCUCGGCGGGGAA
RNAcentral lists this non-coding RNA (27 nucleotides) under Homo sapiens (human). Lineage: Eukaryota; Metazoa; Chordata; Mammalia; Primates; Hominidae. The record is from RNAcentral.